GUGGAAUUUUGGAGGGUUUCCAGUAUGGCUGAAGUAUGUACCUGGCAUUAGCUUCAGAGCUGAUAAUGAACCUUUCAAGAACGCAAUGAAAGGGUAUGCUGAGAAAAUUGUUAACUUGAUGAAGAGUCAUAAUCUUUUCGAGUCUCAGGGUGGUCCAAUCAUACUCUCACAGAUUGAGAAUGAGUAUGGGCCUCAAGCCAAGGUACUUGGAGCACCGGGACAUCAGUAUUCAACAUGGGCUGCAAAUAUGGCAGUUGGAUUAGACACAGGCGUCCCAUGGGUGAUGUGCAAGGAAGAAGAA
RNAcentral lists this unclassified non-coding RNA (301 nucleotides) under Hevea brasiliensis (rubber tree). Lineage: Eukaryota; Viridiplantae; Streptophyta; Magnoliopsida; Malpighiales; Euphorbiaceae. The record is from RNAcentral.